RNAcentral lists this ribosomal RNA (422 nucleotides) under uncultured bacterium. RNAcentral describes it as "partial 16S ribosomal RNA". It matches the Rfam family "Bacterial small subunit ribosomal RNA", at positions 355 to 794 of the family's 1533-position model. The record is from RNAcentral.
UGGGGAAUAUUGCACAAUGGGCGAAAGCCUGAUGCAGCAACGCCGCGUGAGUGAUGAAGGCCUUCGGGUUGUAAAGCUCUGUCUUUUGGGACGAUAAUGACGGUACCAAAGGAGGAAGCCACGGCUAACUACGUGCCAGCAGCCGCGGUAAUACGUAGGUGGCAAGCGUUGUCCGGAUUUACUGGGCGUAAAGGAUGCGUAGGCGGAUUUUUAAGUGAGAUGUGAAAACCCUAAGCUUAACUUGGGGACUGCAUUUCAUACUGGAAAUCUAGAGUGCGGGAGAGGAGAAUGGAAUUCCUAGUGUAGCGGUGAAAUGCGUAGAGAUUAGGAAGAACACCAGUGGCGAAGGCGAUUCUCUGGACCGUAACUGACGCUGAGGCAUGAAAGCGUGGGUAGCAAACAGGAUUAGAUACCCUGGUAGU